CCCUUAGAUGUUCUGGGCCGCACGCGCGCUACACUGACGAAGUCAGCGAGCAUGUCCUACGCCGACAGGUGCGGGGAAUCUUGUCAAACUUCGUCGUGAUGGGGAUUGAUUAUUGAAAUUCUUGAUCAUCAACGAGGAAUUCCUAGUAAGCGCAAGUCAGCAGCUUGCGUUGAUUACGUCCCUGCCCUUUGUACACACCGCCCGUCGCUCCUACCGAUUGGGUGUGCUGGUGAAAUGUUCGGAUCGGCCGUUUGUCGCGGUUUCCGCGUCAUGUGGCUGAGAAGUUCAUUAAACCCGCCCACCUAGAGGAAGGAGAAGUCGUAACA
RNAcentral lists this ribosomal RNA (326 nucleotides) under uncultured eukaryote. Its description in RNAcentral is "partial 18S ribosomal RNA". It matches the Rfam family "Eukaryotic small subunit ribosomal RNA", at positions 1470 to 1796 of the family's 1831-position model. The record is from RNAcentral.